This 694-nucleotide ribosomal RNA is filed under the name uncultured fungus. Its description in RNAcentral is "eukaryotic LSU rRNA". The stretch from base 173 to 326 matches the Rfam family "5.8S ribosomal RNA". Lineage: Eukaryota; Fungi. The record is from RNAcentral.
GCUUUCAAAAAGAAAGCAUGUGCACGCCUGAUUCAAUCCACUCUUAAACCUCUGUGCACUUACUGUAGGCUUAGGUAAUAGAGGGGCUUGUAAGAGUCCUGAUAGAGCCUGGUCUAUGCUUUUAUAAACGCUUUAGUCUAAGAAUGUUACUCGCGUUUAACGCAAUAAAUACAACUUUCAGCAACGGAUCUCUUGGCUCUCGCAUCGAUGAAGAACGCAGCGAAAUGCGAUAAGUAAUGUGAAUUGCAGAAUUCAGUGAAUCAUCGAAUCUUUGAACGCACCUUGCGCUCCUUGGUAUUCCGAGGAGCAUGCCUGUUUGAGUGUCAUGAAAUUCUCAACCCAUAAAUCCUUGUGAUCUAUGGGCUUGGAUUUGGAGGCUUGCUGGCCGUAACGGUCGGCUCCUCUUGAAUGCAUUAGCUUGAUUCCGUGCGGAUCGGCUCUCAGUGUGAUAAUUGUCUACGCUGUGACCGUGAAGCGUUUUGGCGAGCUUCUAACCGUCCAUUUGGACAAUUUUAUAACAUCUGACCUCAAAUCAGGUAGGACUACCCGCUGAACUUAAGCAUAUCAAUAAGCGGAGGAAAAGAAACUAACAAGGAUUCCCCUAGUAACUGCGAGUGAAGCGGGAAAAGCUCAAAUUUAAAAUCUGGCAGCCUUUGGUUGUCCGAGUUGUAGUCUGGAGAAGCGUCUUCCGCGC